GCAGGUGAAUACAACGUUGAGCGAUGAACGUUGUGCUCCAUAUCCAUAAUUGUAGUGUUUCUCAUAUUGAGGUUAUACAGAUUAAUUUACGUGUUGUGCCGAUGCUAAAAUUAGCAUCGGCCAUU
This is a non-coding RNA of Xenorhabdus cabanillasii JM26, 125 nucleotides long. Lineage: Bacteria; Pseudomonadati; Pseudomonadota; Gammaproteobacteria; Enterobacterales; Morganellaceae. The record is from Rfam.